RNAcentral lists this transfer RNA (66 nucleotides) under Sydaphera spengleriana. Its description in RNAcentral is "tRNA-Pro". It matches the Rfam family "tRNA". Rfam says of the family: Transfer RNA (tRNA) molecules are approximately 80 nucleotides in length. Their secondary structure includes four short double-helical elements and three loops (D, anti-codon, and T loops). The record is from RNAcentral. Lineage: Eukaryota; Metazoa; Mollusca; Gastropoda; Neogastropoda; Cancellariidae.
CGAAUUGUAGUUUAGUAAAAUAUUAACUUUGGAAGUUAAAGAUCGAGCAUUUGGCUUGCAUUUCGA